AGGAUGAGACUAUAUAGUAUCAGCUAGUUGGUAAGGUAAUGGCUUACCAAGGCUAUGACGCUUAACUGGUCUGAGAGGAUGAUCAGUCACACUGGAACUGAGACACGGUCCAGACUCCUACGGGAGGCAGCAGUAGGGAAUAUUGCGCAAUGGGGGAAACCCUGACGCAGCAACGCCGCGUGGAGGAUGACACUUUUCGGAGCGUAAACUCCUUUUCUUAGGGAAGAAUUCUGACGGUACCUAAGGAAUAAGCACCGGCUAACUCCGUGCCAGCAGCCGCGGUAAUACGGAGGGUGCAAGCGUUACUCGGAAUCACUGGGCGUAAAGGGCGCGUAGGCGGAUUAUCAAGUCUCUUGUGAAAUCUAAUGGCUUAACCAUUAAACUGCUUGGGAAACUGAUAGUCUAGAGUGAGGGAGAGGCAGAUGGAAUUGGUGGUGUAGGGGUAAAAUCCGUAGAUAUCACCAAGAAUACCCAUUGCGAAGGCGAUCUGCUGGAACUCAACUGACGCUAAGGCGCGAAAGCGUGGGGAGCAAACAGGAUUAGAUACCCUGGUAGUCCACGCCCUAAACGAUGUACACUAGUUGUUGGGGUGCUAGUCAUCUCAGUAAUGCAGCUAACGCAUUAAGUGUACCGCCUGGGGAGUACGGUCGCAAGAUUAAAACUCAAAGGAAUAGACGGGGACCCGCACAAGCGGUGGAGCAUGUGGUUUAAUUCGAAGAUACGCGAAGAACCUUACCUGGGCUUGAUAUCCUAAGAACCUUAUAGAGAUAUGAGGGUGCUAGCUUGCUAGAACUUAGAGACAGGUGCUGCACGGCUGUCGUCAGCUCGUGUCGUGAGAUGUUGGGUUAAGUCCCGCAACGAGCGCAACCCACGUAUUUAGUUGCUAACGGUUCGGCCGAGCACUCUAAAUAGACUGCCUUCGUAAGGAGGAGGAAGGUGUGGACGACGUCAAGUCAUCAUGGCCCUUAUGCCCAGGGCGACACACGUGCUACAAUGGCAUAUACAAUGAGACGCAAUACCGCGAGGUGGAGCAAAUCUAUAAAAUAUGUCCCAGUUCGGAUUGUUCUCUGCAACUCGAGAGCAUGAAGCCGGAAUCGCUAGUAAUCGUAGAUCAGCCAUGCUACGGUGAAUACGUUCCCGGGUCUUGUACUCACCGCCCGUCACACCAUGGGAGUUGAUUUCACUCGAAGCCGGAAUACUAAACUAGUUACCGUCCACAGUGGAAUCAGCGACUGGGGUGAAGUCGUAACAAGGUAACCGUAGGAGAACCUGCGGUUGGAUCACCUCCUUUCUA
RNAcentral lists this ribosomal RNA (1294 nucleotides) under Campylobacter jejuni. RNAcentral describes it as "bacterial SSU rRNA". It matches the Rfam family "Bacterial small subunit ribosomal RNA", at positions 222 to 1533 of the family's 1533-position model. The record is from RNAcentral. Lineage: Bacteria; Pseudomonadati; Campylobacterota; Epsilonproteobacteria; Campylobacterales; Campylobacteraceae.